GAGCCACCUGAGACGCUAGUACGGCAGAUUUACUUAACGAUUCACUUAAUCACUUAAAGAUUCUCUUCCCUUUUCUCUCAUUGGGAAUAAUACCUAAGGCAUUUUGUGUCAGAGCUCUGGAGUUAGAUUUUUUUUCCUUUUUUUUUACUUUCUAAAAAAAUCUUUUUUCCUUUUUUUAUUUCAUUUUUUCAUGUAUUUAUUUUUUAUAACUUUUGAUUUUUUUUUCUUUUAUCAUUUGUGGGGUUUUUUCUACUUUUUCUUUUUGGUUAUUGUGGAGUUAGAUUUUCUUGAGUAUGAGUAUGAAUGGAGAAAGUCACUUAACUUCUCUAAAAGACUCAGUUUCUUCUACAAAGUGUGAUAAUGAAACACUUCACCGAUAUGAUAACCUUAGAGCCAGCUGGGGAAGAAGAGUAGGACGUCCCCAGGAGCACAAAAGUAGAAAGGAGAUUCUACUCAGCAGAGAAAAUGGGAUGCACAAACGCCUGGAGGCAUGAGACUUUAUCUGCUGAGGCUCCAGCUUGGAAGGGAGGAGUUGAGGUUUAAUUUAGAAGACAAGUCAAGGGAGAUAUAGAAAUAGCAGCUGUCAUCACAGUGCUUUACUUGAUCACGAGCCCUUUGUCCAGCCCGCAUCCCCUACCCCUUUAAGGGAGGCAGGCCCAAGCAGUACCUUGCAUAGAAACGACUGCUUUCUAUACCGUAUGACCCCCAGCUGACAGGUGGCUGGACGAAGGGUCUGGCAACCGGCAAAGUGUCUGCAAACCUCUGCGCAAACUGAGAAAAUCAAGUCCAAUCAAUAUUCUCUCCUGCUUGAAAAUUGUUUCUGGGAAAAGCAAGAAUUGAAGCUGAAAAGAUGUGGAGAAUCCAUGAGCCAAAAUUAUAAAUAUAUUGAAGCCUCUAGAAUGUAGAGUCAGACAUAUUCAGACGUGCUCAUAGGGCCCAGGAGGUUCUUCCAGCUUUUGAUUCAAACUCAAGGAGUUACUUAAAAGCUGAAAUGUUAUUUUUAAUAAUACUUUUAACGAACAGCAGCGCCCUGGCGGCUCAGCUUUGCGCGGGCUGCAGCAGGCAGGCAGGCAUGGACACGCCCUUCCCUGCGGGUAAGAUUCCCAAGAGAAAGAUCAGCUCAGCAGAAGGGGCGGUGAAGAUCUGCGAGGUUGUCAGCUAAAUCUCCUCCAGCAAAAGUGGAAACGAAGCCCAGCGAAGGCAGCAGGACAGCAUAAAUUUUCAGACAAAGAAACAAGGGAAAAUGGGAGCAAAGGGCAAACAGGCCAAGUGGCUAUCCGGGAAACAAAAGAUUUACCUGUGGAAAACGGGGAAACUGAAACAAGGAGAGUACAGCCUCUGGUGAAGCAGGACAGAAAGAAGCCAAAUCUGAUUAGUAUCACAUACCAUAUCUUAUCAAUGGUCCUUAUCUCCCUUCUUGUACAAUCCAGAGCUAGACAGAGAGAGAAAAAGAGACAGAGUGUUGCUGGGCCCGGGCUGGAGUCCGGUAGCACAAUCAUAGCUCUCUGCACCCUGGAACCCCUGGGCUCAAGCGAUUCACUUACCUCAGCCUCCCAAGUAGCUGGGACCACAGACAGUCUCUGCGCCCAGACUGGAGUGCAGUGUCACAAUCUCGGCUCACUGCAAACCUCCGCCGCUCCCAUCCACCACCAGGCUCAAGCAAUUUUCCUGCGUCAGCCUCCCAAGUAGCUGGGAUUAUAGGCACCAACCACCGUGCCGGCUAAUUUUUGUGUUUUUAGUAGAGACGGGAUUUUGCCAUAUUGGCCAGGCUGGUCUUGAACUCCUGACCUCAGGUGAUCCGCCCGCCUCAGCCUCCCAAAGUGCUGGGAUUACAGGCAUGGGCCACCACGCUCAGCCUAAAAAAAUUUUUAAUAAGACUGGUAAAGAGAAUUACUGCAGACUCAAUACAGUGAAGGAAAUUUGCAUGCUUUAUGUCCAUGUUUUUAUCUUGUAUAUGGUCUCUAUUUAUUUUUUCUCUUCCUUUCUCUCUCUCCCCCUCCCUCCUUCCCUCCCUCCCUCUUGCUUUUCCCCUUCUUCCUCCUGCUCUUCCUCCUCCCCCUUCUUCUCCUUCUCCCUGUCCCCACUCUCUGUCUCCCACACACCCUUCAGUACAGGUCUGUUUCUUGGAAGAAAUAAAAGACGUUCUAGUA
This is a long non-coding RNA of Symphalangus syndactylus (siamang), 2150 nucleotides long. RefSeq lists it as uncharacterized. NCBI's taxonomy places the organism in Eukaryota, Metazoa, Chordata, Mammalia, Primates, Hylobatidae. The record is from RefSeq and is a predicted model, not a curated record.